Armigeres subalbatus is the source of this 763-nucleotide long non-coding RNA. RefSeq lists it as uncharacterized. The transcript has 4 exons. The record is from RefSeq and is a predicted model, not a curated record. Lineage: Eukaryota; Metazoa; Arthropoda; Insecta; Diptera; Culicidae.
CUUCAAGCGAUACUGAAAUAGCUGAUUCGUUCUUUCUGGCUCAAUAUUUCAAGCAAGUUGGAAGUGCGCGGCGCGUUAAAAUUCGAGUUGUUAAUAGUUGGUCCUUAAAAGUUAGAGGAUAAUAAAUAAUAAAAGUCAAGUGUUAGUAAAAGUUAAUAGAAGGGUGCUGUGUGGCAGGUGAACGGAAUAGAUUCCACGUGGAUCGUGGAACAAAUUUGUGGAAAAAAGGCCUAGUGGGCCUUUUUUCCGUUCUUUAAGCUAAACCGGAGGCUCUUCGAACGUCAGGUUUUCCAACUUCCGAUAGCCCAAUUCGGGUGUAUCGUAUAUCCCUGAGCCAGAAACCUGCCCUGUGAUUUCUCCGUUGGAGUUAUUCGCAGCAGAGGGAUCCAAUUCGCACGAAGUGUCGUAUCCGGGACGUUGAUAGCAACCACGGAGGAAUCUAACCUCAAAAUUGGCAAAAAUAGAAGACGAGAGAACACCAGUGUCUGAUCGCCGCCAUUGUCCAAGUACCGACAUCGUUGGACCCAUUAUUCGAUCGUCGACUUUGUGGACACCAUCGUCUGAGCACCGGCAUCGUCGAACCCAUCACGCGAUCGCCAGUGUUGAACCAUCCACUGGCCCGUCGCUGACCGGACGUCUUCCGGACAUUACAGGAACCGUAACAGAUUCGCCAACCCGCAAACCGCUGACGAGCGAGUACAAUUACCAUCCCGUUCCAUGCAGUGGUUCCCCAUCAUCGUGAGUCAGCCCACACCCCAUCAAC